Molecule: ribosomal RNA, 245 nt
Filed under: uncultured bacterium
Lineage: Bacteria
Description: partial 16S ribosomal RNA
Rfam family: Bacterial small subunit ribosomal RNA
Source: RNAcentral
UACAGAGACCUCAAGCGUUAUCCGGAAUCAUUGGGCGUAAAGCGUACCGACAGGUGGUUUUACAAGUCAGAAGUGAAAUCCUAAGGCUUAACCUUGGGAAUGUCUUUUGAAACUGUAAAACUUGAGGGACAAAGAGGAAGCUGGAACGAACGGUGUAGUAGUGAAAUGCGUUGAUAUCGUUCGGAACACCAAUAGCGUAGGCAAGCUUCUGGGUGUCACCUGACACUGCUAGGACGAAAGCGUGG